GGGUCAGUAGCUCAGUCGGUAGAGCAGAGGCCUCUUAAGCCUAAGGUCCAGGGUUCGAAUCCCUGCUGACCCACCA
Molecule: transfer RNA, 76 nt
Filed under: Candidatus Peregrinibacteria bacterium CG1_02_41_10
Lineage: Bacteria; Candidatus Peregrinibacteriota
Also listed under: 1 other name
Description: tRNA-Lys
Rfam family: tRNA
About the family: Transfer RNA (tRNA) molecules are approximately 80 nucleotides in length. Their secondary structure includes four short double-helical elements and three loops (D, anti-codon, and T loops).
Source: RNAcentral